UACUGAUGAUGGCAAACCUGUUGAAAAGCAGGGACGCAAAGCUAGAGGGCCUGUAAAAUGGCAGCCAGCUACCAAA
Molecule: non-coding RNA, 76 nt
Organism: Desulfosporosinus sp. Tol-M
Lineage: Bacteria; Bacillati; Bacillota; Clostridia; Eubacteriales; Desulfitobacteriaceae
Source: Rfam